Long non-coding RNA from Labrus mixtus (cuckoo wrasse), 668 nucleotides. RefSeq lists it as uncharacterized. The record is from RefSeq and is a predicted model, not a curated record. Lineage: Eukaryota; Metazoa; Chordata; Actinopteri; Labriformes; Labridae. The transcript is spliced from 2 exons.
UAAAUAAAAUUGGCAUCGGGAGCUGAACAGUGUAGCCCUCCCUCUAUUUGUAUGCCGCCUCUGAUAAGGCUAAUAGGCAUUCAUAGUUUGGGAUUUUGGGGUGGCCAAUCCAUUUCAAGGUGGGCCCAUGCCACCCCUCUGGACACACCCCUGGUCCCAGAGGCUUUUUUAUAUUGUGUGUAAGAGAAACUGUAACGACCAAAUGUCCACUCUGGGAUUAAUAGAGUAAUUCUGAUUCUGAUUCUUAUUCUGAUUUUUCUUGAAACCAGGAUUUUAAGCAGGUGCAGAAGAUAUAAUCUUACUUGAUGUCUGAGAUGCUAUUUCUCUCCACAUGCAGGAGCAGCAACACGUCCAUGAUGAGUGCGUCCACAAUGCCACAGAGAUACCAAUUAGAAAUGCUGACGCUGCAGUGACGCCCGGAGCAGAAAAUGUCUUUUGAUCAUCGUAACAAAAGGCCAAAUGACUUGUGUAAACAGAGCAAGAUAUAUUAGUCUGCAUGUGCAUGAAAAGAACUAUUAGAAACUGUUUAUUUGUUGCUCCAACUUCACAGGAGUCGAGCGCUAUUUCUACUGAAACAAAGAUAGAAAAUAGAAUUACCUGAAAGUGAUGGUGUAGUUAUGACAUAAGAAAUGACAAACCAUGUCACAAUAAACGAUCGUUUCGCUCAA